Molecule: long non-coding RNA, 299 nt
Organism: Haliotis rufescens (red abalone)
Lineage: Eukaryota; Metazoa; Mollusca; Gastropoda; Lepetellida; Haliotidae
Exons: 3
Source: RefSeq, a predicted model, not a curated record
GGUCGCGCUUGGGUUUGGCGUGUAUCUCAUAAGGGUAUAAAAACAGCAGGGACCAAGCGUCUGUCACACCAGUCUCUGUCAAGGUUACUCAACGUUCAGAUCCAACCAUGAAGACCGCAAUUGUUGUUGUAGCUGUAAUGGCUGUUUUUUUCUUCGGUAACGGCUCUGCCGACUGUAGGUGUGAUAUUGACAACGUGGUGGUGUGUGACACGGAAGGGAAUAGCUACCCAAAUGCCUGUGAACUUCGUUGCGAAGGCAAGACGCUCGAUAAAAGCAAGACCUUCAAUAGCAAGUCUGGG